This 258-nucleotide long non-coding RNA is filed under the name Vitis vinifera (wine grape). RNAcentral describes it as "long non-coding RNA (VVIN_LNC007002)". Lineage: Eukaryota; Viridiplantae; Streptophyta; Magnoliopsida; Vitales; Vitaceae. The record is from RNAcentral.
GACAAAUGAAAAAAAGACUGGAUAAGAUAAUGACAAUAUAAAAGAUAGAUUGAAGUUUUAAAAAGAGCUAAAAAGUGUUUAACAGUAUAAAAAGGCAUGAAAAACAAAGAAAGAGGCUUGGGCACUAAAGCAAUAUAAAGAGAUUAUUGGGCGCCCUUGGAUGAAAAUCAAGCAUUGGAUGGACUUUUAGGAAAAAAAAAAUUAAAUACAAGUUUCUUUAUUUUAAUUUAUUGAAAACUUCCCUAUUGUGCAUUUAUA